This 2903-nucleotide ribosomal RNA is filed under the name Escherichia coli. RNAcentral describes it as "23S ribosomal RNA". It matches the Rfam family "Bacterial large subunit ribosomal RNA". The record is from RNAcentral. Lineage: Bacteria; Pseudomonadati; Pseudomonadota; Gammaproteobacteria; Enterobacterales; Enterobacteriaceae. RNAcentral also lists the same sequence under 1 other name.
GGUUAAGCGACUAAGCGUACACGGUGGAUGCCCUGGCAGUCAGAGGCGAUGAAGGACGUGCUAAUCUGCGAUAAGCGUCGGUAAGGUGAUAUGAACCGUUAUAACCGGCGAUUUCCGAAUGGGGAAACCCAGUGUGUUUCGACACACUAUCAUUAACUGAAUCCAUAGGUUAAUGAGGCGAACCGGGGGAACUGAAACAUCUAAGUACCCCGAGGAAAAGAAAUCAACCGAGAUUCCCCCAGUAGCGGCGAGCGAACGGGGAGCAGCCCAGAGCCUGAAUCAGUGUGUGUGUUAGUGGAAGCGUCUGGAAAGGCGCGCGAUACAGGGUGACAGCCCCGUACACAAAAAUGCACAUGCUGUGAGCUCGAUGAGUAGGGCGGGACACGUGGUAUCCUGUCUGAAUAUGGGGGGACCAUCCUCCAAGGCUAAAUACUCCUGACUGACCGAUAGUGAACCAGUACCGUGAGGGAAAGGCGAAAAGAACCCCGGCGAGGGGAGUGAAAAAGAACCUGAAACCGUGUACGUACAAGCAGUGGGAGCACGCUUAGGCGUGUGACUGCGUACCUUUUGUAUAAUGGGUCAGCGACUUAUAUUCUGUAGCAAGGUUAACCGAAUAGGGGAGCCGAAGGGAAACCGAGUCUUAACUGGGCGUUAAGUUGCAGGGUAUAGACCCGAAACCCGGUGAUCUAGCCAUGGGCAGGUUGAAGGUUGGGUAACACUAACUGGAGGACCGAACCGACUAAUGUUGAAAAAUUAGCGGAUGACUUGUGGCUGGGGGUGAAAGGCCAAUCAAACCGGGAGAUAGCUGGUUCUCCCCGAAAGCUAUUUAGGUAGCGCCUCGUGAAUUCAUCUCCGGGGGUAGAGCACUGUUUCGGCAAGGGGGUCAUCCCGACUUACCAACCCGAUGCAAACUGCGAAUACCGGAGAAUGUUAUCACGGGAGACACACGGCGGGUGCUAACGUCCGUCGUGAAGAGGGAAACAACCCAGACCGCCAGCUAAGGUCCCAAAGUCAUGGUUAAGUGGGAAACGAUGUGGGAAGGCCCAGACAGCCAGGAUGUUGGCUUAGAAGCAGCCAUCAUUUAAAGAAAGCGUAAUAGCUCACUGGUCGAGUCGGCCUGCGCGGAAGAUGUAACGGGGCUAAACCAUGCACCGAAGCUGCGGCAGCGACACUAUGUGUUGUUGGGUAGGGGAGCGUUCUGUAAGCCUGUGAAGGUGUGCUGUGAGGCAUGCUGGAGGUAUCAGAAGUGCGAAUGCUGACAUAAGUAACGAUAAAGCGGGUGAAAAGCCCGCUCGCCGGAAGACCAAGGGUUCCUGUCCAACGUUAAUCGGGGCAGGGUGAGUCGACCCCUAAGGCGAGGCCGAAAGGCGUAGUCGAUGGGAAACAGGUUAAUAUUCCUGUACUUGGUGUUACUGCGAAGGGGGGACGGAGAAGGCUAUGUUGGCCGGGCGACGGUUGUCCCGGUUUAAGCGUGUAGGCUGGUUUUCCAGGCAAAUCCGGAAAAUCAAGGCUGAGGCGUGAUGACGAGGCACUACGGUGCUGAAGCAACAAAUGCCCUGCUUCCAGGAAAAGCCUCUAAGCAUCAGGUAACAUCAAAUCGUACCCCAAACCGACACAGGUGGUCAGGUAGAGAAUACCAAGGCGCUUGAGAGAACUCGGGUGAAGGAACUAGGCAAAAUGGUGCCGUAACUUCGGGAGAAGGCACGCUGAUAUGUAGGUGAAGUCCCUCGCGGAUGGAGCUGAAAUCAGUCGAAGAUACCAGCUGGCUGCAACUGUUUAUUAAAAACACAGCACUGUGCAAACACGAAAGUGGACGUAUACGGUGUGACGCCUGCCCGGUGCCGGAAGGUUAAUUGAUGGGGUUAGCGCAAGCGAAGCUCUUGAUCGAAGCCCCGGUAAACGGCGGCCGUAACUAUAACGGUCCUAAGGUAGCGAAAUUCCUUGUCGGGUAAGUUCCGACCUGCACGAAUGGCGUAAUGAUGGCCAGGCUGUCUCCACCCGAGACUCAGUGAAAUUGAACUCGCUGUGAAGAUGCAGUGUACCCGCGGCAAGACGGAAAGACCCCGUGAACCUUUACUAUAGCUUGACACUGAACAUUGAGCCUUGAUGUGUAGGAUAGGUGGGAGGCUUAGAAGUGUGGACGCCAGUCUGCAUGGAGCCGACCUUGAAAUACCACCCUUUAAUGUUUGAUGUUCUAACGUUGACCCGUAAUCCGGGUUGCGGACAGUGUCUGGUGGGUAGUUUGACUGGGGCGGUCUCCUCCUAAAGAGUAACGGAGGAGCACGAAGGUUGGCUAAUCCUGGUCGGACAUCAGGAGGUUAGUGCAAUGGCAUAAGCCAGCUUGACUGCGAGCGUGACGGCGCGAGCAGGUGCGAAAGCAGGUCAUAGUGAUCCGGUGGUUCUGAAUGGAAGGGCCAUCGCUCAACGGAUAAAAGGUACUCCGGGGAUAACAGGCUGAUACCGCCCAAGAGUUCAUAUCGACGGCGGUGUUUGGCACCUCGAUGUCGGCUCAUCACAUCCUGGGGCUGAAGUAGGUCCCAAGGGUAUGGCUGUUCGCCAUUUAAAGUGGUACGCGAGCUGGGUUUAGAACGUCGUGAGACAGUUCGGUCCCUAUCUGCCGUGGGCGCUGGAGAACUGAGGGGGGCUGCUCCUAGUACGAGAGGACCGGAGUGGACGCAUCACUGGUGUUCGGGUUGUCAUGCCAAUGGCACUGCCCGGUAGCUAAAUGCGGAAGAGAUAAGUGCUGAAAGCAUCUAAGCACGAAACUUGCCCCGAGAUGAGUUCUCCCUGACUCCUUGAGAGUCCUGAAGGAACGUUGAAGACGACGACGUUGAUAGGCCGGGUGUGUAAGCGCAGCGAUGCGUUGAGCUAACCGGUACUAAUGAACCGUGAGGCUUAACCUU